Long non-coding RNA from Thunnus maccoyii (southern bluefin tuna), 2950 nucleotides. RefSeq lists it as uncharacterized. The record is from RefSeq and is a predicted model, not a curated record. The transcript has 2 exons. NCBI's taxonomy places the organism in Eukaryota, Metazoa, Chordata, Actinopteri, Scombriformes, Scombridae.
UAUAGGCUAUAUAUUUCCUUUAGCUAAAUGAAAGUCAGCUAUAUAACUAUAUCGACCUCAUGGAUAGAGGGUCCCAACGAAUAAAAUAUUUAUUUGACUUAGUGAAAACGACUGAACUAUUCACCAAAUUCCCAAAUGACAUAGAAAAUAAAAAAAUAAAUAAAUAAAAAAAAAAAAAAAGGUCUAGGAGGCUGGUUAGGCUUUGGCUUUGGUUGUAGCGUGCAGUGCGCCCUGUCUAACAGGGGUUUCUCAUCUAAGCCAAGCAGCUCCUGCAAUAAACUGGAGAUGAACUCGGUCGGCGCUGUGCCUUCAAGUCCUUCCGUGAUCCCAAUCAGUCUUAAAUUAUUUCUCCUUGAUCUGCUUUCAAGGUGCUCAUAUUUUACAUGGAGGUCUUUGACUUCCGACUGAAGUCUAUAGACUGUUGCUUCCAGGUCUGUAACGGCAUCACUUGUUGCAGUCGCAGAUUUUUCCACAUCUUUCAGGUGGCUUUCAUGAUUGUUUAAAGCUGUAUCUAGUGCCGCAACAGAGGUAGAUAGAUCUUCCCUGAUAGCGGAAAUGUCUGACUGAAGUUCACUGACCGCUAAUUCUAUUUUUGAACAAAUGCCAGUUUUUAGGGAAUCCAAAGCUUUGGUGAGCAGAUCAGGUGUUAAUUUGUCACCUCCUUGUGAACUCCCGGUUUUGGCCUCGUUAGACAAAGGAGUAAGGCCACCGCCUUUGGCUCUGGUAGUAAAAGGCACGUUUCAAAUCUGCUCCACUUAGGCUUUAACUUGAUUAUAUGAAUUUUGAUUCUGUUGAAAUGUGAGAUGGAUCACAUAGAUUUGUCUACUUUUUAAAGGUCCAGUGUGUAGUAUUUAGUAACAUCUAAAAGAACAGACUUGGUAAAAAAUUGAAGAGAUAAUUUAUAAGUAUAUCUUAAUUAAUGUCUAAUCAGCUGAAAAUAAUAAUUGUUGUGUUUUUGUUACCUUAGAAAUAACCCCUUUAUAUCUACAUGGGAGCGGGUUCCCCUCCACGGUGGCCGCCAUGUUGCAUUGCCAUGUUUCUACAGUAGCGCACAACGGACAAACCUAACACUGGCUCCAGUGAGGGCCUUACACGUUUUAGAUUCAGUGGGCGACUACCGGAAAUGCACCAGUUUUAAAACGAAGAGGAAGAGCGGACCAAACAUCUUUUAUUGUGAGACGUUUUUGAAACCAAAAUCUGAUAAAUGGAGGAUUAUACUUCUUUAGAAAAUCACAGGAGCGUGAAUUGUCGUCGUCAAAGAAAAGAAAACAUGAAGAAGCUAAACAAAAUCAGGACAAGCAACAGCAUAAAACGAGGAUAAACCCAGAUGGAAAACCCUGAUGAGAGAAAUGUUUGCAGACUGAGGCUGAAGUUUCCUGUUUACUGCUGGACAGGUAAGAGUGUAAUGUAUAUUUAUUUUGCCCUGCUGGUAAUGGUUCAAAACCUAGAUGAUGUACAAUGUUUAUUAGCAGUACAUUAGUUUCCCUGAAAAGAAACGCCGCCACGUAACGUUAAAUAUUAGCACACUUUACCUUCAGUUUGUGCCUCUCACGGAGCUGGUGGUCUGAUAAGAGACAAAAGGGAGGCAACGUCGUGCUAAUAACCCAACGAUUUAUUCAUUUUCUGUGGCAGUAAGACAACACAUUGACUAAUAACUAAGAUAUUUAGCGCUGGUAAUGUGCUUAAGACAGUAAGUCAGAGUAAUGAGUUACUGUGAAAGAUAAACUGAGGAGAAAUCUGCUCAUCACUGAGUUAAUACAUCCUGUGAAUAUAUAUUUAUAUUUUUCACAGUGCUCCAUGAUUUCAUUGUUUGCUCCUAAUUUGUCAUUUAGGAGCACAUGUACACAUUGGGGGGCAAAGUUAGUUUAUAGUCCAACACAAGUAACGUUUUCCCCGUUUCAAUGUUGAAAAACAUGUAAUUGCGACCAGAAUUUUAAUUUUACAUUCAUCAGUCAGAAGUAGAAUUUUUCUGUUAUUUAUUUUGGUGCGUUUAUCCAGGCCAGCCAAGGCUCCCAGCAUCUUAGGAUGUAACAUAAUGUAUUACAAGGGUUUGUGACUGUGUCAUAAAGCACUUAUUUUCUUGAUGUUGCUGUUGUUUCUCCAGCUAUGAGAGAGGUCCUGUAGCAUCUAUGCAUGGUAUUGCCUUUAUCUUCAUCCUAAAGUGACUGUGUAAUAGGUCAGGGGUAUUUCACCAUGUGCCAUUGAUGGCUGGGGGUACGUUGGUUUUCAUUACAACCAAAGACAACAAAAGUUGAUUUCACUGAAUAGCUACUUGUCUCAGGCUGAAAGUGUGUUAAUCAAUUAAAUAAUCUGAUCUAGUCUGUUGUUGGAAUGAAAAUGUGCAUGGAAUAAGGUUGAACAGUUUCUGGUGAGCACAUUAGAUAAAUAGAUAGAUAGAUAGAUGUUUUAUAAUAGUAAGUUCAUUCAUUUGUGCUGUUUUAUUUUUCUCAGGCACUAUAAGUUGGCAUUAUUCACCAUGUCUGUGACAUUCGCACCCACCAUAUCAGAAGUAUUGCAGACCAAGUCAGGAGAGGUCUGGAAGCAGUUUUCCAUGCAGCUGCUGUUCUACACACAGCUCCUGGAGCAGAUGAGGAACAGCAGUGCCAGUGAAUCAUGGGUGUUGUUCCUGCCAUGAGAGCAUCUUCAUCCAGAGCAGUAAAUUGAAUACCUUUGGUGUGGUUUUGGUCUGACCCUUGUCAGCUAUUAUAUGUGCAGCAAUUUGACUGCUGGAAGGGGAUCAGAUAAGUUUAAUCACACUGCUUUUAGUGUUCAAACAUUCUAAUGAUUUGAUAGAUUAUUCUGUCUUUAUCAGUCAGCUCUGAAGAACACAGAAUAAGCUGUCAAAAUGUUCGUGUUUGAACAGUAAAAGCUGCAUGUUUAUGUUAUACUUUUAUUGUCCAGAUUGAAAAGGAUGUCCAAAAAUGUUUCUGUUAAAUAAAAUAUAUUUUUA